RNAcentral lists this ribosomal RNA (253 nucleotides) under uncultured bacterium. RNAcentral describes it as "partial 16S ribosomal RNA". It matches the Rfam family "Bacterial small subunit ribosomal RNA", at positions 524 to 776 of the family's 1533-position model. The record is from RNAcentral.
UACAGAGGGUGCAAGCGUUAAUCGGAAUUACUGGGCGUAAAGCGCACGUAGGCGGUUAGUUAAGUUGGAUGUGAAAGCCCCGGGCUCAACCUGGGAACUGCAUCCAAAACUGGCAAGCUAGAGUAUGGUAGAGGGUGGUGGAAUUUCCUGUGUAGCGGUGAAAUGCGUAGAUAUAGGAAGGAACACCAGUGGCGAAGGCGACCACCUGGACUGAUACUGACACUGAGGUGCGAAAGCGUGGGGAGCAAACAGG